AAACCAGCACCUCAAGUGGUCAGGAGGAUUAUUGGGCCUAAAGCAUCCGUAGCCUGUUCUGUAAGUUUUCGGCUAAAUCCAUUAGCUCAACUAAUGGGCCGCCGAAAAUACUGUAGAACUAGGGAGUGGGAGAGGUAGACGGUAUUCGGUAGGAAGGGGUAAAAUCCUUUGAUCUAUUGAGGACCACCUGUGGCGAAGGCGGUCUACCAGAACACGUUUGACGGUGAGGGAUGAAAGCUGGGGGAGCAAACCGGAUUAGAUACCCGGGUAGUCC
This 274-nucleotide ribosomal RNA is filed under the name uncultured bacterium. Its description in RNAcentral is "partial 16S ribosomal RNA". It matches the Rfam family "Archaeal small subunit ribosomal RNA", at positions 473 to 747 of the family's 1478-position model. The record is from RNAcentral.